UAGGGAAUUUUAGUCAAUGGCGCAAGCCUGAACGAGCGAUGCCGCGUGAGUGAAGAAGGCCUUCGGGUCGUAAAGCUCUGUUGCGGGGGAAAAAAGGCAGCAUCAGGAAAUGGGUGCUGACUGAUGGUGCCCCGCCAGAAAGUCACGGCUAACUACGUGCC
Molecule: ribosomal RNA, 161 nt
Filed under: uncultured bacterium
Lineage: Bacteria
Description: partial 16S ribosomal RNA
Rfam family: Bacterial small subunit ribosomal RNA
Source: RNAcentral